This 461-nucleotide ribosomal RNA is filed under the name uncultured bacterium. RNAcentral's name for it is "SSU rRNA". It matches the Rfam family "Bacterial small subunit ribosomal RNA", at positions 26 to 518 of the family's 1533-position model. The record is from RNAcentral.
AGAAUCAACGCUGGCGGCGUGCCUAACACAUGCAAGUCGAACGAGAAAGUGGGAGCAAUCCCAUGAGUAAAGUGGCGCACGGGUGAGUAACACGUGACUAACCUACCCUUGAGUGGGGGAUAACCUAGGGAAACCUGGGCUAAUACCGCAUAAUACCUACGGGUCAAAGGAGCAAUUCGCUUUAGGAGGGGGUCGCGGCAGAUUAGUUAGUUGGCGGGGUAAUGGCCCACCAAGACAGUGAUCUGUAUCCGGCCUGAGAGGGCGCACGGACACACUGGAACUGAAACACGGUCCAGACUCCUACGGGAGGCAGCAGUGGGAAUUUUGCGCAAUGGGGGAAACCCUGACGCAGCAACGCCGCGUGGAGGAUGAAGCCCCUUGGGGCGUAAACUCCUUUCGAUCGGGAAGAUAAUGACGGUACCGGAAGAAGAAGCCCCGGCUAACUUCGUGCCAGCAGCCGC